GGGGCUGUAGCUCAGUGGCAGAGGGCUUGCCUAGCAUAUCAAGAGGUCUAUGAGGCAUCGGGUUCAAUCCUUAGCACCA
RNAcentral lists this transfer RNA (79 nucleotides) under Marmota monax (woodchuck). RNAcentral describes it as "tRNA.Ala". The record is from RNAcentral. Lineage: Eukaryota; Metazoa; Chordata; Mammalia; Rodentia; Sciuridae.